AAUACGUAGGGUGCGAGCGUUGUCCGGAAUUACUGGGCGUAAAGGGCUCGUAGGUGGUUUGUCGCGUCGUCUGUGAAAUUCCGGGGCUUAACUCCGGGCGUGCAGGCGAUACGGGCAUAACUUGAGUACUGUAGGGGUAACUGGAAUUCCUGGUGUAGCGGUGAAAUGCGCAGAUAUCAGGAGGACACCGAUGGCGAAGGCAGGUUACUGGGCAGUUACUGACGCUGAGGAGCGAAAGCAUGGGUAGCGAA
RNAcentral lists this ribosomal RNA (251 nucleotides) under uncultured Actinomycetales bacterium. Its description in RNAcentral is "partial 16S ribosomal RNA". It matches the Rfam family "Bacterial small subunit ribosomal RNA", at positions 522 to 772 of the family's 1533-position model. The record is from RNAcentral. Lineage: Bacteria; Bacillati; Actinomycetota; Actinomycetes; Actinomycetales.